RNAcentral lists this unclassified non-coding RNA (274 nucleotides) under Mycobacterium avium subsp. paratuberculosis. The record is from RNAcentral. Lineage: Bacteria; Bacillati; Actinomycetota; Actinomycetes; Mycobacteriales; Mycobacteriaceae.
UCUAAGGAGCACCACGAAAAGCACCCCAACUGGUGGGGUGCGAGCCGUGAGGGGUUCCCGUCUGUAGUGGACGGGGGCCGGGUGCGCAACAGCAAAUGAUUGCCAGACACACUAUUGGGCCCUGAGACAACACUCGGUCCGUCCGUGUGGAGUCCCUCCAUCUUGGUGGUGGGGUGUGGUGUUUGAGUAUUGGAUAGUGGUUGCGAGCAUCUAGAUGAGCGCAUGGUCUCCGUGGCCGGCGUUCAUCGAAAUGUGUAAUUUCUUUUUUAACUCU